UUAAGCAUAUCAAUAAGCGGAGGAAAAGAAACCAACAGGGAUUGCCCUAGUAACGGCGAGUGAAGCGGCAACAGCUCAAAUUUGAAAUCUGGCCCUUGGGUCCGAAUUGUAAUUUGUAGAGGAUGAUUUUGGUGCGGUAUCUUCCGAGUUCCUUGGAACAGGACGCCUUAGAGGGUGAGAGCCCCGUACGGUUGAAUGCCUAGCCUCUGUAAAUCUCCUUCGACGAGUCGAGUAGUUUGGGAAUGCUGCUCUAAAUGGGAGGUAAAUUUCUUCUAAAGCUAAAUACUGGCCAGAGACCGAUAGCGCACAAGUAGAGUGAUCGAAAGAUGAAAAGCACUUUGAAAAGAGGGUUAAAUAGCACGUGAAAUUGUUGAAAGGGAAGGAUUUAUGACCAGACUUUUUCUGGGCGGAUCAUCCGGUGUUCUCACCGGUGCACUUUGCCCAGUUUAGGCCAGCAUCGAUUUUCGGAGGGGGAUAAAAGCUUUGGGAAUGUGGCUCCUCCGGGAGUGUUAUAGCCCAUUGUAUAAUACCUUUCUGGGGAUCGAGGUACGCGCUUCUGCAAGGAUGCUGGCGUAAUGGUUAUCAAUCACCCGUCUUGAAACACGGACCAAGGAGUCGAACAUUUGUGCAAGUGUUUGGGUGUUAAACCCUCACGCGUAAUGAAAGUGAACGGAGGUGAGAGCCCUUACGGGUGCAUCAUCGACCGAUCCUGAAGUUUUCGGAUGGAUUUGAGUAAGAGCAUAACUGUUCGGACCCGAAAGAUGGUGAACUAUGCGUGGAUAGGGUGAAGCCAGAGGAAACUCUGGUGGAGGCUCGCAGCGGUUCUGACGUGCAAAUCGAUCGUCAAAUCUGCGCAUGGGGGCGAAAGACUAAUCGAACCAUCUAGU
Molecule: ribosomal RNA, 887 nt
Filed under: Seiridium sp.
Lineage: Eukaryota; Fungi; Ascomycota; Sordariomycetes; Amphisphaeriales; Sporocadaceae
Description: partial large subunit ribosomal RNA
Rfam family: Eukaryotic large subunit ribosomal RNA
Source: RNAcentral